GUGCCAGCAGCCGCGGUAAUACGGAAGGUCCGGGCGUUAUCCGGAUUUAUUGGGUUUAAAGGGAGCGCAGGCGGAAGGAUAAGCGUGACGUGAAAUGUAGCCGCUCAACGGCUGAACUGCGUCGCGAACUGUCUUUCUUGAGUGAGUACGACGUCAGCGGAAUUCGUGGUGUAGCGGUGAAAUGCUUAGAUAUCACGAAGAACCCCGAUUGCGAAGGCAGCUGACGAGUCCUUUACUGACGCUAAAGCUCGAAGGUGCGGGUAUCGAACAGGAUUAGAUACCCUGGUAGUCCGCACGGUAAACGAUGGAUGCCCGCUGUUGGCGAUACAAUGUCAGCGGCCAAGCGAAAGCGUUAAGCAUCCCACCUGGGGAGUACGCCGGCAACGGUGAAACUCAAAGGAAUUGACGGGGGCCCGCACAAGCGGAGGAACAUGUGGUUUAAUUCGAUGAUACGCGAGGAACCUUACCCGGGCUUGAACUGCAGGAGAACGAUUCAGAGAUGAUGAGGUCCUUCGGGACUCCUGUGGAGGUGCUGCAUGGUUGUCGUCAGCUCGUGCCGUGAGGUGUCGGCUUAAGUGCCAUAACGAGCGCAACCCCUUUCGUUAGUUGCCAUCAGGUGAUGCUGGGCACUCUGGCGAUACUGCCACCGUAAGGUGUGAGGAAGGUGGGGAUGACGUCAAAUCAGCACGGCCCUUACGUCCGGGGCUACACACGUGUUACAAUGGGGAGUACAGAGAGUCGGUCGCUGGCAACUGCGAUCCAAUCCUUAAAGCUCUCCUCAGUUCGGAUUGGGUCUGCAACCCGACCCCAUGAAGCUGGAUUCGCUAGUAAUCGCGCAUCAGCCAUGGCGCGGUGAAUACGUUCCCGGGCCUUGUACACACCGCCCGU
Molecule: ribosomal RNA, 888 nt
Filed under: uncultured rumen bacterium
Lineage: Bacteria
Description: bacterial SSU rRNA
Rfam family: Bacterial small subunit ribosomal RNA
Source: RNAcentral